This 253-nucleotide ribosomal RNA is filed under the name uncultured bacterium. Its description in RNAcentral is "partial 16S ribosomal RNA". It matches the Rfam family "Bacterial small subunit ribosomal RNA", at positions 524 to 776 of the family's 1533-position model. The record is from RNAcentral.
GACAGAGGGUGCGAACGUUGCUCGGAAUUACUGGGCGUAAAGCGCGUGUAGGUGGGUCGAUAAGUCGGGCGUGAAAUCCCUGGGCUCAACCCGGGAACUGCGCUCGAAACUGCCGAUCUUGAGUGCCGGAGAGGGUGGCGGAAUUCCUGGUGUAGAGGUGAAAUUCGUAGAUAUCAGGAGGAACACCGGUGGCGAAGGCGGCCACCUGGACGGCUACUGACACUGGGACGCGAAAGCCAGGGGAGCGAACGGG